GAUCAACGCUGAAAGCAUCUAAGCGUGAAGCCCCCCUCAAGAUGAGAUUUCCCAUUUCUUCGGAAAGUAAGAUCCCUGAAAGAUGAUCAGGUAGAUAGGUUUGGAGUGGAAGUGUAGCGAUACAUGGAGCGGACAAAUACUAAUCGAUCGAGGACUUAACCAA
This 163-nucleotide ribosomal RNA is filed under the name Listeria monocytogenes. RNAcentral describes it as "partial 23S ribosomal RNA". It matches the Rfam family "Bacterial large subunit ribosomal RNA", at positions 2763 to 2925 of the family's 2925-position model. The record is from RNAcentral. Lineage: Bacteria; Bacillati; Bacillota; Bacilli; Caryophanales; Listeriaceae.